AUUGAACGCUGGCGGCAGGCCUAACACAUGCAAGUCGAGCGAGCGGCGGACGGGUGAGUAAUGUCUGGGAAACUGCCUGAUGGAGGGGGAUAACUACUGGAAACGGUAGCUAAUAACGCAUACCAUCAGAUGUGCCCAGAUGGGAUUAGCGAGUGGGUGGGGUAACGGCUGACCUAGGCGACGAUCCCUAGCUGGUCUGAGAGGAUGACCAGCCACACUGGAACGGAGACACGGUCCAGACUCCGACGGGAGGCAGCAGUGGUGAAUAUGGCAGAAGUGGCGAAAGUCUGAUGCAGCGAUGCAGCGUGUGUGAAGAAGGCCGUCUGGUGGUAAAGCACCUUCAGCGGGGAGGCGUUACCCGCAGAAGAAGCACCGGCGAACUCCGUGCCAGCAGCCGCGGUAAUUC
RNAcentral lists this ribosomal RNA (406 nucleotides) under uncultured bacterium. RNAcentral's name for it is "partial 16S ribosomal RNA". It matches the Rfam family "Bacterial small subunit ribosomal RNA", at positions 29 to 526 of the family's 1533-position model. The record is from RNAcentral.